AACGAACGCUGGCGGCAUGCCUAACACAUGCAAGUCGAACGAUGCUUUCGGGCAUAGUGGCGCACGGGUGCGUAACGCGUGGGAAUCUGCCCUUGGGUUCGGAAUAACAGUGAGAAAUUGCUGCUAAUACCGGAUGAUGUCUUCGGACCAAAGAUUUAUCGCCCAGGGAUGAGCCCGCGUAGGAUUAGCUAGUUGGUGGGGUAAUGGCCUACCAAGGCGACGAUCCUUAGCUGGUCUGAGAGGAUGAUCAGCCACACUGGGACUGAGACACGGCCCAGACUCCUACGGGAGGCAGCAGUGGGGAAUAUUGGACAAUGGGCGCAAGCCUGAUCCAGCAAUGCCGCGUGAGUGAUGAAGGCCUUAGGGUUGUAAAGCCCUUUUACCCGGGAUGAUAAUGACAGUACCGGGAGAAUAAGCUCCGGCUAACUCCGUG
Molecule: ribosomal RNA, 433 nt
Filed under: uncultured bacterium
Lineage: Bacteria
Description: partial 16S ribosomal RNA
Rfam family: Bacterial small subunit ribosomal RNA
Source: RNAcentral